CGAACGGGUAGAGGUAACGCGUGGGGAAUCUGCCUUUGAGCGGGGGACAACAUUUGGAAACGAAUGCUAAUACCGCAUAAAAACUUUAAACACAAGUUUUAAGUUUGAAAGAUGCAAUUGCAUCACUCAAAGAUGAUCCCGCGUUGUAUUAGCUAGUUGGUGAGGUAAAGGCUCACCAAGGCGAUGAUACAUAGCCGACCUGAGAGGGUGAUCGGCCACAUUGGGACUGAGACACGGCCCAAACUCCUACGGAAGGCAGCAG
This 262-nucleotide ribosomal RNA is filed under the name uncultured bacterium. RNAcentral describes it as "partial 16S ribosomal RNA". It matches the Rfam family "Bacterial small subunit ribosomal RNA", at positions 99 to 354 of the family's 1533-position model. The record is from RNAcentral.